RNAcentral lists this long non-coding RNA (513 nucleotides) under Astyanax mexicanus (Mexican tetra). RNAcentral describes it as "lncRNA (ENSAMXG00005005584.1)". Lineage: Eukaryota; Metazoa; Chordata; Actinopteri; Characiformes; Acestrorhamphidae. The record is from RNAcentral.
AACUCGUGUUGUACAGUAUGUUCUGCAAUUCUUCUCAUCUGUAUCUCCUUGUGCUGUGCGCAGAUAAAGAAGUAGGAAACUACAGGACCCACAAUCCCCUGCUCAGGACACGCUCACACGGGCCACUGAUGUGGGGGAGGAACAGCUACCCCCCUGCACACCCAUUUAGACCAGUGAAGAACCGGAGGAGGCGGCUUGAAGGAGGAGCGGCACCGGGGGAAUAAGGGCACGGCACACAAACAGAACAACCAGCUGACAAACACACUCCGACAGGGAGCCCUCAGCCUCGGCCCAAACACACUCACUCCACAGCGCUCCACAUUGUUCCCCAGUGUUCCACUGCACUCAGACUGAGAAGAACAGUGUUCUAAAUAUUUGGAGGCUUAAAUGACUCUUAGGAUCAGUGAAAACUAUAUAGAACCGUGAGAACUAUGAGAAGACUCAUUUGGAUACUUGAAUUAUGCUUUUGCUGUUCUUUAGACUGGUGAAAAAUAAACUUUUGUUAAUGGUUCA